RNAcentral lists this ribosomal RNA (255 nucleotides) under uncultured bacterium. RNAcentral describes it as "partial small subunit ribosomal RNA". It matches the Rfam family "Bacterial small subunit ribosomal RNA", at positions 26 to 285 of the family's 1533-position model. The record is from RNAcentral.
AGGACGAACGCUGGCGGCGUGCUUAACACAUGCAAGUCGAGCGGAAAGGCCCUUCGGGGUACUCGAGCGGCGAACGGGUGAGUAACACGUGAGUAAUCUGCCCCUAGCUCUGGGAUAGCUCCGGGAAAACCGGGAUUAAUACCAGAUACAACCACUUUAGACAUCUCUUGUGGUGGAAAGAAUUUCGGCUAGGGAUGGACUCGCGGCCUAUCAGCUUGUUGGUGAGGUAACGGCUCACCAAGGCGACGACGGGUA